GAUGAACGCUGGCGGCGUGCCUAAUACAUGCAAGUAGAACGCUGAAGGAAGGAGUUUGCUCUUCUGGAUGAGUUGCGAACGGGUGAGUAACGCGUAGGUAACCUGCCUGGUAGCGGGGGAUAACUAUUGGAAACGAUAGCUAAUACCGCAUAACAGUAGAUGUUGCAUGACAUCUGCUUGAAAGGUGCAAUUGCACCACUACCAGAUGGACCUGCGUUGUAUUAGCUAGUUGGUGAGGUAACGGCUCACCAAGGCGACGAUACAUAGCCGACCUGAGAGGGUGAUCGGCCACACUGGGACUGAGACACGGCCCAGACUCCUACGGGAGGCAGCAGUAGGGAAUCUUCGGCAAUGGACGGAAGUCUGACCGAGCAACGCCGCGUGAGUGAAGAAGGUUUUCGGAUCGUAAAGCUCUGUUGUAAGAGAAGAACGAGUGUGAGAGUGGAAAGUUCACACUGUGACG
Molecule: ribosomal RNA, 463 nt
Filed under: Streptococcus australis
Lineage: Bacteria; Bacillati; Bacillota; Bacilli; Lactobacillales; Streptococcaceae
Description: bacterial SSU rRNA
Rfam family: Bacterial small subunit ribosomal RNA
Source: RNAcentral